GGGCCCGUAGCUCAGCCUGGUAAGAGCACUCGGCUGAUAACCGAGGGGUCGUGGGUUCAAAUCCCACCGGGCCCACCA
This 78-nucleotide transfer RNA is filed under the name Candidatus Culexmicrobium cathedralense. RNAcentral describes it as "tRNA-Ile". It matches the Rfam family "tRNA". From Rfam's summary of the family: Transfer RNA (tRNA) molecules are approximately 80 nucleotides in length. Their secondary structure includes four short double-helical elements and three loops (D, anti-codon, and T loops). Further hydrogen bonds mediate the characteristic L-shaped molecular structure. tRNAs have two regions of fundamental functional importance: the anti-codon, which is responsible for specific mRNA codon recognition, and the 3' end, to which the tRNAs corresponding amino acid is attached (by aminoacyl-tRNA synthetases). tRNAs cope with the degeneracy of the genetic code in two manners: having more than one tRNA (with a specific anti-codon) for a particular amino acid; and 'wobble' base-pairing, i.e. permitting non-standard base-pairing at the 3rd anti-codon position. The record is from RNAcentral. Lineage: Archaea; Thermoproteati; Candidatus Culexarchaeota; Candidatus Culexarchaeia; Candidatus Culexarchaeles; Candidatus Culexmicrobiaceae.